This 497-nucleotide ribosomal RNA is filed under the name uncultured bacterium. Its description in RNAcentral is "partial 16S ribosomal RNA". It matches the Rfam family "Bacterial small subunit ribosomal RNA", at positions 28 to 507 of the family's 1533-position model. The record is from RNAcentral.
GAUGAACGCUGGCGGCGUGCCUAAUACAUGCAAGUCGAGCGAACGGACGAGAAGCUUGCUUCUCUGAUGUUAGCGGCGGACGGGUGAGUAACACGUGGAUAACCUACCUAUAAGACUGGGAUAACUUCGGGAAACCGGAGCUAAUACCGGAUGAUAUUUUGAACCGCAUGGUUCAAAAGUGAAAGACGGUCUUGCUGUCACUUAUAGAUGGAUCCGCGCUGCAUUAGCUAGUUGGUAAGGUAACGGCUUACCAAGGCAACGAUGCAUAGACGACCUGAGAGGGCGAUCGGCCACACUGGAACUGAGACACGGUCCAGACUCCUACGGGAGGCAGCAGUAGGGAAUCUUCCGCAAUGGGCGAAAGCCUGACGGAGCAACGCCGCGUGAGUGAUGAAGGUCUUCGGAUCGUAAAACUCUGUUAUUAGGGAAGAACAUAUGUGUAAGUAACUGUGCACAUCUUGACGGUACCUAAUCAGAAAGCCACGGCUAACUACGUG